Molecule: ribosomal RNA, 253 nt
Filed under: uncultured bacterium
Lineage: Bacteria
Description: partial 16S ribosomal RNA
Rfam family: Bacterial small subunit ribosomal RNA
Source: RNAcentral
UACGUAGGUGGCGAGCGUUAUCCGGAAUUAUUGGGCGUAAAGAGCAUGUAGGCGGUUUAUUAAGUUUGAUGUGAAAGCUAGUGGCCUAACCACUAAACUGCAUUGAAUACUGGUAAACUAGAAUACUGGAGAGGUAAGUGGAAUUCCAUGUGUAGCGGUGGAAUGCGUAGAUAUAUGGAGGAACACCAAUGGCGAAGGCAGCUUACUGGACAGUGAUUGACGCUGAGAUGCGAAAGCGUGGGUAGCAAACAGG